UACGAAGGGGGCAAGCGUUGUUCGGAAUUACUGGGCGUAAAGGGCGCGUAGGCGGCCUGCUAAGUCGAACGUGAAAUCCCCGGGCUCAACCCGGGAACUGCGUCCGAUACUGGCAGGCUUGAAUCCGGGAGAGGGAUGUGGAAUUCCAGGUGUAGCGGUGAAAUGCGUAGAUAUCUGGAGGAACACCGGUGGCGAAGGCGGCAUCCUGGACCGGUAUUGACGCUGAUGCGCGAAAGCCAGGGGAGCAAACGGG
This 253-nucleotide ribosomal RNA is filed under the name uncultured bacterium. RNAcentral describes it as "partial 16S ribosomal RNA". It matches the Rfam family "Bacterial small subunit ribosomal RNA", at positions 524 to 776 of the family's 1533-position model. The record is from RNAcentral.